Molecule: ribosomal RNA, 562 nt
Filed under: uncultured bacterium
Lineage: Bacteria
Description: bacterial SSU rRNA
Rfam family: Bacterial small subunit ribosomal RNA
Source: RNAcentral
CCUACGGGAGGCAGCAGUGGGGGAUAUUGCGCAAUGGGGGAAACCCUGACGCAGCGACGCCGCGUGGAGGAUGAAGGUCUUCGGGUUGUAAACUCCUUUUCUUAGGGAAAAUGAUGAUGGUACCUAAGGAAUAAGCCACGGCUAACUCUGUGCCAGCAGCCGCGGUAAGACAGAGGUGGCGAGCGUUGUUCGGAUUUAUUGGGCGUAAAGCGAACGCAGGUGGUUUGGUAAGUCAGAGGUGAAAUUCCGCAGCUUAACUGCGGGACUGCCUUUGAUACUGCCUUUCUAGAGUGCAUGAGGGGGAAGCGGAAUUCCGAGUGUAGAGGUGAAAUUCGUAGAUAUUCGGAGGAACACCGGUGGCGAAGGCGGCUUCCUGGCAUGUAACUGACACUCAUGUUCGAAAGCGUGGGGAGCAAACAGGAUUAGAUACCCUGGUAGUCCACGCCCUAAACGAUGGGCACUAGGUGUGGGAGGUAUCGACCCCUUCCGUGCCGCAGCUAACGCAUUAAGUGCCCCGCCUGGGGAGUACGGCCGCAAGGUUGAAACUUAAAGGAAUUGACGG